This 506-nucleotide ribosomal RNA is filed under the name uncultured bacterium. Its description in RNAcentral is "partial 16S ribosomal RNA". It matches the Rfam family "Bacterial small subunit ribosomal RNA", at positions 29 to 523 of the family's 1533-position model. The record is from RNAcentral.
AGUGAACGCUGGCGGUAGGCCUAACACAUGCAAGUCGAACGGCAGCACAGGAGAGCUUGCUCUCUGGGUGGCGAGUGGCGGACGGGUGAGGAAUACAUCGGAAUCUACUCUGUCGUGAGGGAUAACGUAGGGAAACUUACGCUAAUACCGCAUACGACCUACGGGUGAAAGCAGGGGACCUUCGGCCCUUGCGCGAUUGAAUGAGCCGAUGUCGGAUUAGCUAGUUGGCGGGGUAAAGGCCCACCAAGGCGACGAUCCGUAGCUGGUCUGAGAGGAUGAUCAGCCACACUGGAACUGAGACACGGUCCAGACUCCUACGGGAGGCAGCAGUGGGGAAUAUUGGACAAUGGGCGCAAGCCUGAUCCAGCCAUACCGCGUGGGUGAAGAAGGCCUUCGGGUUGUAAAGCCCUUUUGUUGGGAAAGAAAUCCAGCUGGCCAAUACCCGGUUGGGAUGACGGUACCCAAAGAAUAAGCACCGGCUAACUUCGUGCCAGCAGCCGCAGUAA